This 166-nucleotide ribosomal RNA is filed under the name Syzygium australe. RNAcentral's name for it is "5.8S ribosomal RNA". It matches the Rfam family "5.8S ribosomal RNA". Rfam says of the family: 5.8S ribosomal RNA (5.8S rRNA) is a component of the large subunit of the eukaryotic ribosome. It is transcribed by RNA polymerase I as part of the 45S precursor that also contains 18S and 28S rRNA. Lineage: Eukaryota; Viridiplantae; Streptophyta; Magnoliopsida; Myrtales; Myrtaceae. The record is from RNAcentral.
AUUAUUCAUAACGGACUCUCGGCAACGNAUAUCUCGGCUCUCGCAUCGAUGAAGAACGUAGCGAACUGCGAUACUUGGUGUGAAUUGCAGAAUCCCGUGAACCAUCGAGUCUUUGAACGCAAGUUGCGCCCGAAGCUUCGGUUGAGGGCACGUUUGCCUGGGUGUC